Long non-coding RNA from Oreochromis aureus, 4170 nucleotides. The record is from Ensembl. NCBI's taxonomy places the organism in Eukaryota, Metazoa, Chordata, Actinopteri, Cichliformes, Cichlidae.
UUCUGGGUCUGCUUGAAUUGGGGUUUAGUCCCUGUGUCUUGAUACAGCCCUGAUUUUGUUCUGCCUUGCUGCUUAAUUAAAAAAAUAGUUUAAGGUGUCCUGCAUAAGUGAUAUAUAUUUUUCCCUAUAUGAAGUCAUUCUUUUUUGAAUGACCCCCCCCCCACAAAAAAAAAAAAAUCCCACAUGCAUACUACCCUUUAGGGCUAAGCCCCGGGUGUUUCAAAUGUCUGGCUCCGCCUCUGGUCUCAACCAAGUACUGUAUGGUUUUUAUAUUUUUAGUAGUGUGUCACACAAACAGCAAAUAUUGUCAAAAAGAGUAAGAAAUCUCUGGGGGUGUUUUGAUUCAUUUUGGGGGUGCUUCAGCACCCCCAAAAAUGGGCUAAAAACGCCCCUGUCCCCACCAAUAAUUUGAUCUCUUCGAGUAAAGAAAGAGAAACCCGAUAGAAAGAAAAAAAAACGAUCUGUCAGCGUCUCAUUCACCCAGUGGUGCAGAAAGAGUUAAAUUACAUUCUCUACUGGAGUUCUACCUCAUGUGACAAAUAUGGCUAAUGUGAUUCGCUGUGCCUUUCAGGGAGCUCUGUUUAGUUUUAGCACACCCGAGCCUCAACUCCCGCGGCCCGGUACCAAAUGACUCACGGACCGUGGCCUGGGGGUUGGGGACCGCUGCCUUACAGCAUAGCAGCAUAGGAUCAAUGGAUCAGUCGUGGAUUCAGCAAAAGGUUUAAGUUUCUUCUUCAUAUGGCUAUUCUUCUGUAGUCUUUUUUAAAUUAAUUUAUUUUCUUUGUUUUCUGAUAUUUAUUUUUUUCAAUGCAUUUCUUAAAUAAAUUACUAAAAUGUUUUUUACAGAUAAAAGGAAGCCUCAGAUCAUUGGAAAUACAACCGUUAAACUGGGAGAUGUUCUGAAUCUGACCUGCAGUGUUGAAAGUUUCCCCCCAGCUCUUAUAGUCUGGAGAAGUACCACCACAAUCCUUCUGACUAAAACUUAUCCUGAUCUGCACAAUGACACUGGAUCAGCUACACUUGUCAUUCAGAAUGUGAUAGCAGAACAUUCUGGACAGUACAUCUGUGCAACCAAAUAUCUGCACACAACUGUGACUUCAUAUGUCAAUGUGACCGUGACAUGGUUUUCAAAAAUAGUGAAUGGCUCUGGAUGUGUGCUUCAGGCAGAGGUUUUGACCUGUGUGUGUCUCAGUGAAGGGUUUCCUUUACCGACUGUCAAUUGGCCAUUUCUGAAGAACCGCACUGAUUACUCUGCCCUUACCACUGUGUCAAACCACACAGUAAACAGCACAGUCAGUUUAACUGUGAAAAACAAUGGCAACACUACUUUUGAAUGUAUCAGCAACAAUGGAAUGGGGGAAGCAAAAGAAAGUCUCACAAUCCAAAAAAACUUGCCAGACAAUAAUAGUAAGUAUUUCCAACUACACACUUUUGAACACCAACUUAACCUCUUAGGACCACAUUUGUUAAUGCAAUCUUUGUAAAAACACAAUCUUCGAACACACAUUUACAUGUAAUGUAUGCAUUUUAAGCAACACGGAACCAACUUUCUUCCUUUUUUAAAUUCACUUCAAUUCACAGUUUUUAGGCUGGAAUACGUGAACGUCAUCAUUGUCUUUUUCACUGGGGCAGUUCUUGCAACAAUCAUUUGCUUUUUAGCUAAAAAUUGCUACAGAAAAAAUCAGAACAUUCAAAAAUUGAGAAAUUCAGAUGAGAUUUUGGAGAUGGAGACACAUCAAAAUAAACUGGUAUUAAUUCAUCAGACAUUUUUUGAUUUACUUGUCAAAAUAUGAGUUUCUGCACAAAUUUUGAUAUCUUUGAAGCAUCCAUAGUUUACUUGUUUACAUUUUACUGUAAGUUCCUACAUAAAGGUUCUGAAAGAAAGUAGUUCAGAUUAAGAUUAGCCUUAAUAAUAAGAUUAUUUAGAUUUUUUAAUUAACUCCUUGUAUACAGUGGUGUGAAAAAGUGGUUGCCCCAUCCUAGUUUCCUAUUUUAUUUGUAUGUUUGUCACACUUAAAUAUUUCAGAUCAUAAAACAACUUUAGAUAUUAGACAAAGAAAAAAGUCAACACAAAAGGCAGUUUACUUAGGCCACUCCUAAGUCUUCAGUUUGUUUUUCCUAAGCCAUUCAGAGGUGGACUUGCUGGUGAGUUUUGGAUCACUGGCAAAACAGUUUUUUUCCCCUUUAUGCUCAUUUACUCAACACUGGUUUUCAUCUUGGAACUCUCCCAUGGAUGCCAUUUUUGCCCAUUUUUGCUUAUGGUGGCGUCACGCACACUGGCCUUAACUGAGGCAAGUGAGGCCUGCAGUUCUUUGGAUGUUGUUCUGGGGUCUUUUGUGACCUCUUGAAUGAGUUUUCACAAUGUUUUUAGGUUUUAGGGCAAUUUUGGUUGGCGGGCCACUCCAGAUCACCACUAUUCCAUGUUUUUGCCAUUUGUGGAUAAUGCCUCUCACUGUGGUUCGCGUGGAUUCCCACAGAUUUAGAAAUGUCUUUAGAACCUUUUCCAGACUGAUACAUCUCAAUUACCUUGUUUCUUAUUUGUUGUUGACUUUCUUUGUAUUGCAACAUGAUUUUGAGGCCUACUCAACUUUGUCAUGCAGGUCCUAUUUAGAGUAAGUGAUUUCUUGAUUGAAAAUGGGUGUGGCAGUAAUCAGGCAUGGGUGCGGCGAGAGAAAUUAAACUCCGCUUUCCAAAGAUGAGAUACACCACCAUAACUUUUUUACACAGGGCCAUGCAGCUUCGGAUUUUUUUUUUAAGCUUCAGUUCUUUCAUCAAGCUGAUUGAUAAAAAGAAAAAUAACCCAGAAUGAAACAAUGUAAAUGUACAAGACAGACAAGAUGAGUCUCUCUUCCUUUGUUUUUAACAGGUAUAUAAUAGUCAAGCAUUACAAGACACUCAGACCCUGAGCUCAAACAGUGGGCCAAAGGAGGUGGAGUAUGCCAAUAUAGAUUUUUCCCUGCUGAAAAGAAACAGUGGCAGGGAGGCAGCAAGGAAGCAAGAGAGCACAAAGACAGACUAUGCUGAAAUUAAGAAAGUGGUCAAAGAACAAUGGGGAGAUGAUGCUGGGGAGGAAGGAGACAUAUUGGAGGGCCAAGAGAAGAAUGUGAUAAUGGAGUUGAAACACUGUGAACCAGAAAGGGUAGAAGGGCGAAAUGAGGCAGUGAAUGAAACGUGAAUGUUAUAACUAGAGAUGGACCGAUCCGAUAUUACGUAUCAGUAUCGGUCCGAUACUGACCUAAAUUACUGGAUCGGAUAUCGGCGAGAAAUAAAAAAUGUAAUCCGAUCCAUUAAAUAUCAAAAAAACACCUCACAAAACUUGCGACAAGGCGUAACUCGGCUCAUAACCGUAGCAAGUAGGAGCAGUAUGCCUCACGUGAUAGAGCGGCUGUGUGUAUUUGGAGCCUCGCUACCAAACCAGCAUUUCAUCUCCGAGGAAGUUAUCCCAGAGAGAAGUAAAGCAAGUGUGUAAGUUCAUCUCUGAAUGUUUGUAAAGCAUUCCCGCGUUAAGCUUAACAACCGAUAUAUGGAGCGACUGCCUCUCUCUCUCCUGCUGCUACUUCAAUCGUGAAACUGCUUAAUGAUCAGCUGAUCGGCUUUUCUGUGCGAGUCCAUCUCUCUUUUUUUGUAUUUGGCCCACUUUGCACCAGAACGAGGAAACCAGCGGCAGAACAACAGCAGCACGUUUAAACUUGAUAAGCUGUUGUUAGAAUUUAUUUAAUAUUACUUUCUAGACCAGGAUCUUUUUCUACGUAGCUGACGGCUGGUAACUGUGCAGGGGCGGAUCUAGCAAAGUUUAGCCAGGGGGGCCGAUAGGGCAUGAACAGGGAAAAGGGGGCACAAAGACAUACUUUUCUUCCUUAUUCUCAUUUGAAAUGUCUAGCUUAUAAUAAAUAAUUAUCUGAAUCUUACACCCAAAGUUUUAAUCUGAUGUAAAAUGUAUAGAAGUCCAUUACUGUAUAUAGUAACUGUUAAGUCUAAUAUACCCUAGUAAGCUAGUACUUUUUCCUUUGGGAAGGUACCAUCUGUGCAGUCUGCAAUUCUGUUGAAGAAAGAUGUUGAAUCUAUUUAAUUAUUCUUGAAAAAUAAUUUAUUUCUGUGCAUUUUUUUUCACCCUGCAUCAAAUUAAAGUUGAUUACAUCGAUUAAGCAUCAUGAGGUGGAGGGUGGGGGG